GAUGCAUUCAAUUUGUCCUUCAAAUAUAAACAAGGAAAAAUAUGUGCGUGCAGACUCAAGAUCCAUGGCGAUUUUAAAUGCAGUCAGGAUCAUUUACUCCAGAUUCAUGCCACAUCUUCUCAUGAUUUUGGUCCAAAUUGGCUAUUCAUUUCUCUGCACCAUUGCAGAAGCUGUCUUCAAUCAUGGGAUGAACCCUCAUGUCUUCGUUACAAACCGAUAUCGUAGGCAGCUUAGUGAUGUUUCCUCUUGCAUAUUUUCUUGAAAGGUGCAUCACACACAUGCAUACACCCACCAGAUAAAUUGCAAAGAAAAGCGAGGCCAAAGCUAAUAAUUGUGUUGUUUCUGGAGAUAUGUGUGCUCUCUCUUCUAGGGUAUGAAGGGCAAUCCAUAUGCUUCAACAUAAAGCAAAACGAAACAAAAUUUUUUGUCUUUGUGAGAAAAGGAAAAGGACUUACAGUUUUCUCUUUUGACGAAAGCCAGGGCCAGCUUAACAAUUAACAUGUACUUUGCAAGCUUGAAAUACACUUCUCCUACCUUUGUUGCUUCAAUGAACAAUACCGUUCCCUCCAUGAGUUUCAUAAUUGCAAUUAUACUCAGGUUGGAGAUUGUCGAUUUAAGGAACCCUCGAGGAAUAGCUAAAACUGUCGGAACGUUACUAUCGUUGGCUGGGGUCUUGACCAUCACUUUAUACAAAGGACCUGAGGUGCAAAGCUUGCAGGGCGCACCAAUCCAUGUCAGAAGUAAUCAUGCUCAACAAAACUGGGUGAAGGGGUCUUUUCUGCUUGUUUCGAGUUGCUUUACAUGGUCUCUCUAUUUUAUUAUGCAGGUAUAGAAUUCUCCACUCUGUUAUUUCCCUUGGACUUUCUUUUUGGUCUGGCAUCAAACACAGACCAUUACUCCGAUUUCCAAUUGUGCUACAAGAGUUAUAAGAUUCUAACAUAAUAUUGGUGGCGUGGAAUGUUAAAAAAAACCAAUUAUAACUUAACAUGAGGCUAAUUCUCCUUGCUAGAGUAUCUUUGCCUUUAGAGAUGCUUGAUUUUAUCAGAGCAUACGCAUGCAAAUGAGUGCUAAAUUUUCCUUAAUUAAUCAUAGAUGUGUACCUUGUAAGCAUACACACUGAAAAGGUAUCCUGCACAACUAUCACUAGCUGCAUGGAUAAACGGCUUAGCGGCUGCACAAUCAGCUGUCUUCACUGUGUUCAUACAACACGAACCAGCAGCAUGGAGCAUCAGAUCCAGCAUUAUAUUCUGGUCCGUCAUAUUUGCUGGAGUCAUUAGUUGUGGCUUGACGGUCUUCAUUCAAUUAUGGUGCAACAAAGAAAAAGAGGCAGUCUUUGUGACCAUCUUUAGUCCUCUUGCAACCGUAAUGGUGGCAAUCACGGCUUACUUUCUUUUUGGUGAAGAGUUGCACGCAGGCAGCAUAUUGGGAGGAGCUGUUGUUAUCAUCGGACUUUACAUGCUGCUGCGGGGAAAAGAAAAUGAGCGAGAUCGAAACAAGUCCCAAGAACCAUCUCUUUCCACUUAUGAUGAGGAAAAGUUAAGCCAGUUAGCGUGGAAAGUUCAGCAGAAGACACGUAGUGAAACAGGAAGUUGAGAAAUAAAUCGAGAAUUGGGACUGAUACAAACGAGUCCUACAAUACUCAGAUCAUGAUGUUGGAAACGAAUGGCAUGGCAAAUAAAUUAAAGCUCGUUUAUUGAGCACUAAUAAUCAUUUUCUACAACAAUUAGUUAACAAAUUUUUCGAUAUUUCCAAGUGCGUAUCGAUAUCCCCAAACUAGUACAGUGAAUGUUACUGCAAACUCUCUAAUCUAAUCUUAAUCAGUAAACUUCUGCGGAAUGUUAUUACAAUGGAGUUCUACAAUCAUUGCUGAAGUUGUCUCCAUAGUAGUUUUGUUAAAUAGAUCAACUGCAAAAGGUAUAUUACAC
Molecule: long non-coding RNA, 1925 nt
Organism: Populus nigra (black poplar)
Lineage: Eukaryota; Viridiplantae; Streptophyta; Magnoliopsida; Malpighiales; Salicaceae
Exons: 5
Source: RefSeq, a predicted model, not a curated record